GCCGCUCUCAUACAGGCAGCUCCACCCUCCACCCACAUGGCGCCGGGGACCAGCCACUCCCUCUCCCCUCAUGUCGUGCCUUUCCAUCCCAAGGGCCGUUCCAAGGAACGACAUUUGUCUGAGUCGAGCCCGGCGGCGUCGGAUGACGGGCUUGCCAUGGUGGCGGCCAGCAAUGCUAGGCCGAUGGCUCAUUCAACGACUAAUCGUAGUGCUAGCAAAUCAUAUAAGGAGAUUCUCAGCGCGGCAUUGGACAAGGAUGCUUCCCCCACCAAACCAGUGUGGGAGUCAACUGCUUGGUAACAGCAUCCCUUAAAGGCUCAAGAACAAA
RNAcentral lists this unclassified non-coding RNA (328 nucleotides) under Zea mays. RNAcentral's name for it is "misc RNA Zm00001eb356660". The record is from RNAcentral. Lineage: Eukaryota; Viridiplantae; Streptophyta; Magnoliopsida; Poales; Poaceae.